AUAUCAAUAAGUGGAGGAAAAGAAACUAACAAGGAUUCCCCCAGUAAUGGCGAAUGAAGAGGGAAAAGCCCAAAUUUGUAAUCUGGCUUUCUUUUGAAGGUCUGAGUUGUAAUUUUAAGAACUGUUUUCUGUGCUGGACCACACACAAGUUUGUUGGAAAACAACAUCAUUGAGGGUGAUAAUCCCGUUCAUGGUGUGGA
RNAcentral lists this ribosomal RNA (200 nucleotides) under Phakopsora pipturi. Its description in RNAcentral is "Pucciniastrum pipturi partial large subunit ribosomal RNA". It matches the Rfam family "Eukaryotic large subunit ribosomal RNA", at positions 40 to 234 of the family's 3401-position model. Lineage: Eukaryota; Fungi; Basidiomycota; Pucciniomycetes; Pucciniales; Phakopsoraceae. The record is from RNAcentral.